Molecule: transfer RNA, 67 nt
Filed under: uncultured Lachnoclostridium sp.
Lineage: Bacteria; Bacillati; Bacillota; Clostridia; Lachnospirales; Lachnospiraceae
Rfam family: tRNA
About the family: Transfer RNA (tRNA) molecules are approximately 80 nucleotides in length. Their secondary structure includes four short double-helical elements and three loops (D, anti-codon, and T loops). Further hydrogen bonds mediate the characteristic L-shaped molecular structure. tRNAs have two regions of fundamental functional importance: the anti-codon, which is responsible for specific mRNA codon recognition, and the 3' end, to which the tRNAs corresponding amino acid is attached (by aminoacyl-tRNA synthetases). tRNAs cope with the degeneracy of the genetic code in two manners: having more than one tRNA (with a specific anti-codon) for a particular amino acid; and 'wobble' base-pairing, i.e. permitting non-standard base-pairing at the 3rd anti-codon position.
Source: RNAcentral
GGUAUAGUGCAGUUGGUUAACGCGUCGGAUUGUGGUUCCGAAGAUCGUGGGUUCGAGUCCCACUACC